AUACCUUUCUCGGCCUUUUGGCUAAGAUCAAGUGUAGUAUCUGUUCUUAUCAGUUUAAUAUCUGAUAUGUGGGCCAAUGGUUCACAUGAUAUUAAAUUUAUUUCUUGAGGGGAAGAGUCCACCACAAUAGCUUGCUAUUAGGUCUCUUGAGUGUCGCUUUUGUGUUGCACUACUGCAUUGGCUUGGCGCACCCCAC
Molecule: small nuclear RNA, 196 nt
Filed under: Cicer arietinum (chickpea)
Lineage: Eukaryota; Viridiplantae; Streptophyta; Magnoliopsida; Fabales; Fabaceae
Description: U2 spliceosomal RNA
Rfam family: U2 spliceosomal RNA
About the family: U2 is a small nuclear RNA (snRNA) component of the spliceosome (involved in pre-mRNA splicing). Complementary binding between U2 snRNA (in an area lying towards the 5' end but 3' to hairpin I) and the branchpoint sequence (BPS) of the intron results the bulging out of an unpaired adenosine, on the BPS, which initiates a nucleophilic attack at the intronic 5' splice site, thus starting the first of two transesterification reactions that mediate splicing.
Source: Rfam by way of RNAcentral